UGUAUGGCUCUUUGUAUCCUUUGUAAGAAUCAAAAUCUCAGUUAAAGUUUUGUUAUCAUUGCAUUGGAUAUUACAAAUGACAUUAAUGGGAGUUCUAUUUUACAAUUUGAACACACUAAAACAUGUUUGGCAUGUUAUUUACUGGAUGAUUCAAAUUUGAUACGUGUGUCACAUGACUUUCCAAAGCUUUGAUUUCACAUCUUGCCAAAAGCAUGCCAUGUGGGAGGUAACAAAGAAUGCCGCUCAGGCUGGGCUCCUGCCCUGCAUAGGCAGCUGAGCUACGUACCGGGUUUCUGAUCCAGCGUGGAUUAUGUGGUGCGACUCUGCCUCAGCAAACAGAGCAGAAAUGCACGGUACUAUUCCCUUACACAGAGGGCCUGCAUGCCGGAGGGGGUGGCCUGUGUGUGUUGUCAGGGUUUGGGGUAUCUCCACAUAUGUAAUUAGGUAGCCCUCACUUGCUGGUCAGACCCAAGUUGGUGCAUGCAGCCUAUAGGUUUUCAUAUGUCUACACUUUAUACAUGGACAGAGGCCAUUUUAUGCACUACAUAAGACUUGUUUUCACCCUGUCUUGUAUGUGGAAUUUGCCGUUUUUAUCAUAGGUGCUCAAUUUUUGAUGUUUUAAUUUGGGCAUGUGUCUUCAUUUUGUAAAUAUUUUCAAAAAUGAAUUCUGUUGAAUGGAAUUUGUUCUGUAAUAUGGCUUUAUGGUAAGUGUGGUCUCACUGCUAAUGAAGUUAAGUUUUAAUGCUCAUAUAUUUAAUGCUAAUAUCUGUCCCUAUUCUUAGAAUGUAGAAAUAACUGUCAUCCUGAUUUUUGUCUUAAUGUUUUUAUUCUGCCUCAGACACAUUCAUUCAAAUGUCCUUAGUACUCUGCUAAUCAGAUAAUAUCAUACAAAGAAUUAAACAUGCACCUUACUUAUGAAAAAAAUACACAACAAAGCGCUUGAAAUGCAAUUUUAGAGAGACUGGAGAGAUGGCUGAGCGGUUAAGAUCCACAUUGCCCUUGUAGAGGCCCUGAGUUCAGUCUCAACACCGAUACAGCAGCUCCCAACCAUUUGUAACUCCAGGUCCAGGACAUCUCAAUGCUUCUUUAGCUGUUUCAUGCACUUGCAGGCAUGGGGUGCAUAUACACAGACUCAGGCAUAGAUACAUAUAAAAUAAAUAGCGUUUAAAAAAUUAUUGUCCCUUUAGAAUAUUUAACAUGCUGACACUGACUGAAGUUGGAAUAAUCUUAUUUAAAGUUUCGGACUUUGAAUUUAAAAAGGUAUUGAUCCAAUUUGUUUUCAUAUAAUAUUAAUGAAAACACAUUUCUAUUCUCAGGGUAAACCAGACCUGAACACAACAUUGCCAAUUAGACAAACUGCAUCAAUUUUCAAGCAACCAGUAACCAAAUUCACGAACCACCCGAGCAAUAAGGUGAAGUCAGACCCCCAGCGGAUGAAUGAACAACCACGUCAGGUAAGAGCUCAUUUGUCCUCCAGUCGUAUUUUCCAGAAAGUUCUGGUAUUUUUACCAGGAAUAAUGAAGGUAAAUUCGGGCUAAAUUGGAAAAAAGUUUUAUGUUCAGUCUUAUUACAGAGAAUAAUACAAGACUUGAUAAAAUACUUUAAAAUUAAUUAAAAUGAAUCAAAGUACUAUUAUUGGCAAUGCUUUCAAUUUUUCUGUGUUAUACCUCAGGCUUGGUUGUACUAAUCUUAGUUUUUUUAGAGGGAUUAUUUUUCUAGGGAUGGUAUUAACUAGAAGGCUGAAUCCUGAAGCUUGUGUUGUGUUUGAUUUGAAAACAUUUUCUGUUAUUUGGAAGUUGAUUCUUAACCCGUUUGAUUCUGGUUUUUAAUUUCGAGGAAUUUCAAACCUUUUGAAAAACUGAAUUAGAUACAGAUUGCCAGUAUGGGUAUAUUUCUGUGAGUUCCGUUUUGUAUAAGUUCAACGCAGUUUUCUCUUUCUUUAUUUCUACAACUUAUAUCUACCAGAAACUGUUCUUAGUAUUAUCUGAAAGGCUUCCCUGGGGCUUACCAAGGUCACACAGCCAGGGAUGAAGACUGUAUAGCCUUCCAGAUGGCUCAGCUGGCUUGUACCUCUUGUGGUCAGAAGUUAGGCACUCCAUGAACAUCAGUCACAGCCAGGGUGAGAAGGUGGAGGGAGAAAGUGAAUUUCCUCUCUUUUCUCUGUUUCCUCCCACUUUUGGGCUAGAAGCCCUGAUUGGCCUACGAUGAGUAUCUUUUGCUAGAGUAUUCUCCGCUCCAUCUUGUCAUUUGAUUUGUGUUUCACUAGUCCUUCAAGUGUUUCAUCUUCAUACUUCACAAAGGGCCAAAUCUCUCAGACAUUUGCUCUAGAAGAAACU
This 2336-nucleotide long non-coding RNA is filed under the name Mus musculus (house mouse). Its description in RNAcentral is "long non-coding RNA chr18:70591886-70594222". The record is from RNAcentral. Lineage: Eukaryota; Metazoa; Chordata; Mammalia; Rodentia; Muridae.